AUACGAAGGGGGCAAGCGUUGUUCGGAAUAACUGGGCGUAAAGCGCACGUAGGCGGAAUGUUAAGUUAGAGGUGAAAUCCCAGGGCUCAACCCUGGAACGGCCUUUAAUACUGGCAAUCUAGAGACGGAGAGAGGUGAGUGGAAUUCCGAGUGUAGAGGUGAAAUUCGUAGAUAUUCGGAGGAACACCAGUGGCGAAGGCGGCUCACUGGCUCGGUACUGACGCUGAGGUGCGAAAGCGUGGGGAGCAAAUCGGAUUAGAUACCCGAGUAGUCC
This 274-nucleotide ribosomal RNA is filed under the name uncultured bacterium. Its description in RNAcentral is "partial 16S ribosomal RNA". It matches the Rfam family "Bacterial small subunit ribosomal RNA", at positions 523 to 796 of the family's 1533-position model. The record is from RNAcentral.